RNAcentral lists this long non-coding RNA (204 nucleotides) under Lathyrus oleraceus (garden pea). Its description in RNAcentral is "Pisum sativum (pea) long non-coding RNA (PSAT_LNC015080)". Lineage: Eukaryota; Viridiplantae; Streptophyta; Magnoliopsida; Fabales; Fabaceae. The record is from RNAcentral.
CAAAACCCAAUCAAAAUUCCGCUUGUACAAAACCCCAUCUCUGUUUAGAUAGAACACCAUGGCCAACCUCCUCAGAGUCUUUCGGUCUUUCUUUGAUGCUCCCUCCGGAUACUCUUGGGUUUCCAUACAGCGCUUUAUGUCGUAAUACCACAGCUUUUCAUCAUCAGGCGCUGCUUCAACAACAAACACAUAAGCCGGUCUAUC